This is a non-coding RNA of Epinephelus lanceolatus (giant grouper), 329 nucleotides long. The record is from RefSeq and is a predicted model, not a curated record. Lineage: Eukaryota; Metazoa; Chordata; Actinopteri; Perciformes; Serranidae.
CAGUUAAAGUAGUCUGAAAAUAAAGUUGUGAUAUUUUACAUUCCCAGGUGCAGAACUUAGAGAAAGCCGGAAUUCUCAACAAAACAAAAGUGUGUGAGAACGGAAAGAAAGUGAGGAAAAACUGGGCCCAGACAUGGACAGUGCUCCACGGAGGAGUGCUGACGUUCCACAAAGACCCAAAGUCUGCAGCAGCAGGGGCCUCGAACAAGACCAAUCAGAUUGUUCCGGAGGUCACAGUGGACCUGCGCGGAGCAACGAUUGGCUGGGCCUCAAAGGACAAAUCCAGCAAAAAGAAUGUUUUAGAGGUGUGUGUCAGCUGAUAAUGCAGU